Molecule: ribosomal RNA, 254 nt
Filed under: uncultured bacterium
Lineage: Bacteria
Description: partial 16S ribosomal RNA
Rfam family: Bacterial small subunit ribosomal RNA
Source: RNAcentral
UACGAAGGGGGCUAGCGUUGUUCGGAAUUACUGGGCGUAAAGCGCGCGCAGGCGGUCUUCCAAGCCAGUGGUGAAAGCCCGGAGCUCAACUCCGGAACUGCCAUUGAAACUGUUGGACUUGAGUACGAGAGAGGUGAGUGGAAUUCCCAGUGUAGAGGUGAAAUUCGUAGAUAUUGGGAAGAACACCGGUGGCGAAGGCGGCUCACUGGCUCGUAACUGACGCUCAGGCGCGACAGCGUGGGGAUCGAAACAGG